Molecule: long non-coding RNA, 538 nt
Organism: Schistocerca gregaria
Lineage: Eukaryota; Metazoa; Arthropoda; Insecta; Orthoptera; Acrididae
Exons: 2
Source: RefSeq, a predicted model, not a curated record
GCAGUACGUAAGUAGUCGAUGAGGUGCAGUGCCCAAGAAGCCAUGUUAACCAAUCAGGAGAAGGCACAGUGUGUCCUGAGGUACCAUGAGACACGAUCACCAACCACAGUGCAGAGACACUUCCAGACAACAUUUGGAAGGAAUCCACAUAAUGUCAAAGGCAUUAAGCAGUGGUAUCAUCCAAAGAAUGCUGUGCCACCCCAAAGUUGGCAACUCGAAUCGAUACCACAGACAUUACCGAGGGCUUGCUGCAAUCUGCAACGUCAUAUUGAAGGCGUUCCUGAAGACACGGUAGUGCCGUCGCACUGAUGUCAACAUAGUGCUGAGCAUGUAAGUGCUCAGCCCACCAGUUCGAGACCUCAGCUACAGCAAUUAUUGUCGUAGUAUAGGACCAGUGAGUUGUUAAACUGUCAGAUGAACGAGCAGUGUUGUUAAAGAUGAACACUGUACCUCAAGAAAACAGUCUGCUCAUUAGUGGAUCAAGAAAUACUUUGCAGUUGUGUAUUAUCCAAUAAACCCGUGGCAGAGAAGAGAUAAA